This 58-nucleotide transfer RNA is filed under the name Ictidomys tridecemlineatus (thirteen-lined ground squirrel). RNAcentral's name for it is "Spermophilus tridecemlineatus (thirteen-lined ground squirrel) tRNA". It matches the Rfam family "tRNA", at positions 8 to 63 of the family's 71-position model. Rfam says of the family: Transfer RNA (tRNA) molecules are approximately 80 nucleotides in length. Their secondary structure includes four short double-helical elements and three loops (D, anti-codon, and T loops). Lineage: Eukaryota; Metazoa; Chordata; Mammalia; Rodentia; Sciuridae. The record is from Rfam by way of RNAcentral.
UGGCUCAGUUGGUAGAGUGUUUGCCUCACAUGCACAAGGCCCUGGGUUCAAUCCCUAG